Ciona savignyi (Pacific transparent sea squirt) is the source of this 83-nucleotide non-coding RNA. The record is from Rfam. NCBI's taxonomy places the organism in Eukaryota, Metazoa, Chordata, Ascidiacea, Phlebobranchia, Cionidae.
GGCAGGAUGGCCGAGUGGUCUAAGGCGCUGCGUUCAGGUCGCAGUCUCCCAUGGAGGCGCGGGUUCGAAUCCCGCUCCUGUCA